AUGGUCAUCUAACACCCCAGAUCUGUGUCAUGACUUACCUGCUGUCUGUACAGUAAAAGGUUAUCCAACACACCAGAUCUGUGUCAUGGCUUGCCUGCUGUCUGUAGAGUAAACAGUUAUCCAACACCCCAGAUCUAUGUUAUGACUUGCCUGCUGUCUGUACAGUAAAAGGUUAUCCAAAACCCCAGAUCUAUGUCAUGACUUGCCUGCUGUCUGUACAGUAAAAGGUUAUCCAACACCCCAGAUCUGUGUCAUGGCUUGCCUGCUGUCUGUAGAGUAAACAGUUAUCCAACACCCCAGAUCUAUGUUAUGACUUGCCUGCUGUCUGUACAGUAAAAGGUUAUCCAAAACCCCAGAUCUAUGUCAUGACUUGCCUGCUGUCUGUACAGUAAACAGUUGUCCAGCACCCUAGACCUGUGUCAUGACUUGCCUGCUGUCUGUAUAUGGUCAUCUAACACCCCAGAUCUAUGUCAUGACUUACCUGCUGUCUGUACAGUAAAAGGUUAUCCAGCACCCCAGAUCUAUGUCAUGACUUGCCUGCUGUCUGUAUAUGGUCAUCCAACACCCCAGAUCUAUGUCAUGACUUGCCUGCUGUCUGUACAGUAAAUGGUUAUCCAGCACACCAGAUCUAUGUCAUGACUUGCCUGCUGUCUGUACAGUAAACAGUUGUCCAGCACCCUAGACCUGUGUCAUGACUUGCCUGCUGUCUGUACAGAAAAUGGAUCCCCACACCCCUGACCUGUGUCAUGGCUUGUCUGUUGUCUGUACCGUGUACUGCUCCCCAUCAGUGAUGACUGGGAGAUUAUGGUCUAUGGUUGUUUGUGUGCUACCAUGCCCUUGCAGCACAAAUGAUUAUGGAGAUUCUGGUUAACUUCCCAGUGCUUGUUGUCAGAGCCAACUGUGACUGCAUGUAUUUAAGUGUCCUUGUAUUCCGAAUUCAUGGCUGGAUGAUUGCAGUGUCAUCCGUCUGUGUGCCAGGUCCAGACCUAAGUGUUUACAGACUGGUGUGACACAGUUGAAAUAAUGCUGAAAUUGUGUAUUAAUACCAGUAACAACUUGUAGGUAUAUGUAUGUAGUCAGUUUCAAGAAGUCCUGAGACGCCCCAUGUACUGCGACAGUCGGAUGUCAGUGUUCCAGUCGUGGCAGCUUCAUGUCCAUGAUGGGUUGUUGUUGUGUGAUCAUUCCUGUAUGAUAUAUAAGUUAUUAUUGUUGUUAACUUGUUACAGAUAAUAGGAUGAAAUGCAUGUGUGUUCAUUUUGAUUGUGUCAUUAAUGUGCUGAAAUUAGCCUACUAUUUAUAAAUGCCCCAUGCACCUUAUGCAGGUGUGUCAUCUGUAGGAGACGUACACCUGUAGGCCAAGCAUUCUUCCCACGGAACCUUCUAGAGCAAAGAGGUUGUCCUAGAUACUGUCAAUAGAGCCUUCCGGCCAGGAAUGUAUUAUUGAGUAUAGAAUGAGUAGAAAUGUUGUCUUUGAUUGUUGAGUGUAUGUUACAGCACAGUAUUAUAUACAGAGUUGAUCUCAGAUUUGUUGACACUGUUUCCAUAGACAACGAUGACAGAGUAGAAAACAUCUUGUAGUGGCAAAACAGACGAUGUAUCAGCACAGUAGGUCAACGUCUGAAAUACUGACCAUCAUGGUCUGUGUCUUUACAUUGAUUUAUGAUCACUAUGGUGUAAAUACAAGUUAUCAGUCUUGUAACCAUGGUUACAGCUGUCACACUUCAGCAUUAUAAUGGUUACUGAAUUCAUUUCUUUUUGUGUUCAUCAACUGCAACCAAAACCUGCGAUGAAUAAAAUCUAUUUCCAAUCUUCA
This is a long non-coding RNA of Haliotis rubra (blacklip abalone), 1813 nucleotides long. RefSeq lists it as uncharacterized. The record is from RefSeq and is a predicted model, not a curated record. The transcript is spliced from 2 exons. Lineage: Eukaryota; Metazoa; Mollusca; Gastropoda; Lepetellida; Haliotidae.